GACGAACGCUGGCGGCGUGCUUAACACAUGCAAGUCGAACGGAAAGGCCCUGCUUUUGUGGGGUGCUCGAGUGGCGAACGGGUGAGUAACACGUGAGUAACCUGCCCUUGACUUUGGGAUAACUUCAGGAAACUGGGGCUAAUACCGGAUAGGAGCUCCUGCUGCAUGGUGGGGGUUGGAAAGUUUCGGCGGUUGGGGAUGGACUCGCGGCUUAUCAGCUUGUUGGUGGGGUAGUGGCUUACCAAGGCUUUGACGGGUAGCCGGCCUGAGAGGGUGACCGGCCACAUUGGGACUGAGAUACGGCCCAGACUCCUACGGGAGGCAGCAGUGGGGAAUAUUGCACAAUGGGCGGAAGCCUGAUGCAGCAACGCCGCGUGCGGGAUGACGGCCUUCGGGUGGUAAACCGCUUUCGCCUGUGACGAAGCGUGAGUGUCGGUAAUGGGUAAAGAAGCACCGGCUAACUACGU
Molecule: ribosomal RNA, 467 nt
Filed under: uncultured bacterium
Lineage: Bacteria
Description: partial 16S ribosomal RNA
Rfam family: Bacterial small subunit ribosomal RNA
Source: RNAcentral